CAAGUCGCACGAGAAAGGGAGCAAUCCUGAGUACGGUGGCGCACGGGUGAGUAACACGUGGAUCAUCUACCUUUUAGUGGGGAAUACCUCUGGGAAACCGGAGACAAUACCGCAUAAGCCUGUAAAGGGAAAGCAGCAAUGCGCUGAAAGAGGAGUCCGCGGCUGAUUAGCUAGAUGGCGGGGUAAUGGCCCACCAUGGCGAAGAUCGGUAGCCGGCCUGAGAGGGCACACGGCCACACUGGCACUGAAAUACGGGCCAGACUCCUACGGGAGGCAGCAGUGGGGAAUCUUGCACAAUGGAGGAAACUCUGAUGCAGCGACGCCGCGUGAGCGAUGAAGCCCUUCGGGGUGUAAAGCUCUUUCGACGGGAACGAUAAUGACGGUACCCGGAGAAGAAGCUGCGGCUAACUACGUGCCAGCAGCCGCGGUAAUACGUAGGCAGCGAGCGUUGUUCGGAAUUAUUGGGCGUAAAGAGUGUGUAGGCGGUGCUCCAAGUCUGUCGUGAAAUCUCCCGGCUUAACUGGGAGGGUGCGGCGGAAACUGGAAUGCUAGAGGGUGGGAGAGGUAAGCGGAAUUCCUGGUGUAGCGGUGAAAUGCGUAGAUAUCAGGAGGAACACCUGUGGUGUAGACAGCUUACUGGACCACUUUCUGACGCUGAAACACGAAAGCGUGGGUAGCAAACAGGGAUUAGAUACCCUGGUAGUCCACGCCC
RNAcentral lists this ribosomal RNA (712 nucleotides) under uncultured Bacillota bacterium. RNAcentral's name for it is "bacterial SSU rRNA". It matches the Rfam family "Bacterial small subunit ribosomal RNA", at positions 58 to 802 of the family's 1533-position model. The record is from RNAcentral. Lineage: Bacteria; Bacillati; Bacillota.